GGGGUUGUGGCUCAGUGGUAGAGCGCUUGCCUAGCAUGCAUGAGGCACUGGGUUCAAUUCUCAACACCA
Molecule: transfer RNA, 69 nt
Filed under: Marmota marmota marmota (Alpine marmot)
Lineage: Eukaryota; Metazoa; Chordata; Mammalia; Rodentia; Sciuridae
Also listed under: 1 other name
Rfam family: tRNA
About the family: Transfer RNA (tRNA) molecules are approximately 80 nucleotides in length. Their secondary structure includes four short double-helical elements and three loops (D, anti-codon, and T loops).
Source: Rfam by way of RNAcentral